This 253-nucleotide ribosomal RNA is filed under the name uncultured bacterium. Its description in RNAcentral is "partial 16S ribosomal RNA". It matches the Rfam family "Bacterial small subunit ribosomal RNA", at positions 524 to 776 of the family's 1533-position model. The record is from RNAcentral.
UACAGAGGUCCCAAGCGUUGCUCGGAAUCACUGGGCGUAAAGGGUGCGUAGGCGGGUCUUUAAGUCAGGGGUGAAAUCCUGGAGCUCAACUCCAGAACUGCCUUUGAUACUGAGGAUCUUGAGUUCGGGAGAGGUGAGUGGAACUGCGAGUGUAGAGGUGAAAUUCGUAGAUAUUCGCAAGAACACCAGUGGCGAAGGCGGCUCACUGGCCCGAUACUGACGCUGGGGCACGAAAGCGUGGGGAGCAAACAGG